GAUGAACGCUAGCUACAGGCUUAACACAUGCAAGUCGAGGGGCAGCAUGGUCUUAGCUUGCUAAGGCCGAUGGCGACCGGCGCACGGGUGAGUAACACGUAUCCAACCUGCCGUCUACUCUUGGACAGCCUUCUGAAAGGAAGAUUAAUACAAGAUGGCAUCAUGAGUCCGCAUGUUCACAUGAUUAAAGGUAUUCCGGUAGACGAUGGGGAUGCGUUCCAUUAGAUAGUAGGCGGGGUAACGGCCCACCUAGUCUUCGAUGGAUAGGGGUUCUGAGAGGAAGGUCCCCCACAUUGGAACUGAGACACGGUCCAAACUCCUACGGGAGGCAGCAGUGAGGAAUAUUGGUCAAUGGGCGAGAGCCUGAACCAGCCAAGUAGCGUGAAGGAUGACUGCCCUAUGGGUUGUAAACUUCUUUUAUAAAGGAAUAAAGUCGGGUAUGGAUACCCGUUUGCAUGUACUUUAUGAAUAAGGAUCGGCUAACUCCGUGCCAGCAGCCGCGGUAAUACGGAGGAUCCGAGCGUUAUCCGGAUUUAUUGGGUUUAAAGGGAGCGUAGAUGGAUGUUUAAGUCAGUUGUGAAAGUUUGCGGCUCAACCGUAAAAUUGCAGUUGAUACUGGAUAUCUUGAGUGCAGUUGAGGCAGGCGGAAUUCGUGGUGUAGCGGUGAAAUGCUUAGAUAUCACGAAGAACUCCGAUUGCGAAGGCAGCCUGCUAAGCUGCAACUGACAUUGAGGCUCGAAAGUGUGGGUAUCAAACAGGAUUAGAUACCCUGGUAGUCCACACGGUAAACGAUGAAUACUCGCUGUUUGCGAUAUACUGCAAGCGGCCAAGCGAAAGCGUUAAGUAUUCCACCUGGGGAGUACGCCGGCAACGGUGAAACUCAAAGGAAUUGACGGGGGCCCGCACAAGCGGAGGAACAUGUGGUUUAAUUCGAUGAUACGCGAGGAACCUUACCCGGGCUUAAAUUGCAGAUGAAUUACGGUGAAAGCCGUAAGCCGCAAGGCAUCUGUGAAGGUGCUGCAUGGUUGUCGUCAGCUCGUGCCGUGAGGUGUCGGCUUAAGUGCCAUAACGAGCGCAACCCUUGUUGUCAGUUACUAACAGGUUCCGCUGAGGACUCUGACAAGACUGCCAUCGUAAGAUGUGAGGAAGGUGGGGAUGACGUCAAAUCAGCACGGCCCUUACGUCCGGGGCUACACACGUGUUACAAUGGGGGGUACAGAAGGCAGCUACCUGGCGACAGGAUGCUAAUCCCUAAAACCUCUCUCAGUUCGGAUUGGAGUCUGCAACCCGACUCCAUGAAGCUGGAUUCGCUAGUAAUCGCGCAUCAGCCACGGCGCGGUGAAUACGUUCCCGGGCCU
This 1358-nucleotide ribosomal RNA is filed under the name uncultured bacterium. RNAcentral describes it as "bacterial SSU rRNA". It matches the Rfam family "Bacterial small subunit ribosomal RNA", at positions 28 to 1381 of the family's 1533-position model. The record is from RNAcentral.